AGUCGAACGCAGUAGCAAUACUGAGUGGCAGACGGGUGAGUAACAUGUGGGAAUCUGCCUUGUGGUUCAGGACAACAUUGGGAAACCGAUGCUAAUACUGGAUAAGCCCUUACGGGGAAAGUUUUAAUGCCAAAAGAUGAGCCCGCACUUGAUUAGCUAGUUGGUAAGGUAAUGGCUUACCAAGGCGAUAAUCAAUAGCUGAUUUGAGAGGAUGAUCAGCCACACUGGGACUGAGAUACGGCCCAGACUCC
This 251-nucleotide ribosomal RNA is filed under the name uncultured bacterium. Its description in RNAcentral is "partial 16S ribosomal RNA". It matches the Rfam family "Bacterial small subunit ribosomal RNA", at positions 60 to 339 of the family's 1533-position model. The record is from RNAcentral.